UACGGGGGGAGCAAGCGUUGUUCGGAUUUAUUGGGCGUAAAGGGCGUGUAGGCGGUCUGUUAAGUCUGAUGUGAAAGCCCCGGGCUCAACCUGGGAAGUGCAUUGGAAACUGGCAGACUUGAGUACGGGAGAGGGCAGUGGAAUUCCCAGUGUAGGAGUGAAAUCCGUAGAUAUUGGGAGGAACACCGGUGGCGAAGGCGGCUGCCUGGACCGAUACUGACGCUGAGACGCGAAAGCGUGGGGAGCAAACAGG
RNAcentral lists this ribosomal RNA (253 nucleotides) under uncultured bacterium. RNAcentral's name for it is "partial 16S ribosomal RNA". It matches the Rfam family "Bacterial small subunit ribosomal RNA", at positions 524 to 776 of the family's 1533-position model. The record is from RNAcentral.